Molecule: long non-coding RNA, 472 nt
Filed under: Medicago truncatula (barrel medic)
Lineage: Eukaryota; Viridiplantae; Streptophyta; Magnoliopsida; Fabales; Fabaceae
Description: long non-coding RNA (MTRU_LNC001598)
Source: RNAcentral
UUCUUUUUUAUGUUUUUUAUUUGAGACCAAGAAGGGUUGAUUGGUCUUCUAUUAGGAUGAGGUCUGUUUCUGUGCUGCAACAUCAUCAUAACAACAAUGCCACCUCCACUGUAAGUAAUCCUUAUCUUUAUACUACAUGUUGAAAUAUCGUAGUUGAAAUAUCUUGUUAAAAGUUCCACAUUAGAUGAAAUAAAGUUUGAAAUGGGGAUAGCGAGCAGAUGACCCAACGGAUUUUGGAAUAGCCACUGAUACUAUCUGAAGCACUGUGGAUUGCCCCCACUUAUAAACACUUAUUCAUGUCGUCUGUCAACUGAUGUGGGACUCUUUAACAUGGUCCAACCCAAAUUUUAAUAUGAUCUAUAGCUUAUCCAAGAUUGGUGCCACUCUAGAUGUUCAAUCCUAGGCGUGAUAGGUUUGUUAAGAGCAUCCACAAUGGUAGUCCACUAAUAAGGACUCCUUAAAUGGAAUCACG